UUGGUUUGUUACGGGUGGUUGGCUCUCUGCUUUUGCAACAACUUCCACCCGGCAUUCCUCUUCAGUUGUGCGUCAAGGUUGUGUUUCCUUGAGCGCUUUUGGUUUCCUGUGUUGCCUACCAAUGUGAGGGUAUCGUUUGAUUUCAUCCGUCUGGUUUUUAUCUUUGCGUCGUACGUGGCGUGUGAUGAACCUCAAAGCAGUCUCUAUGAUCCACCUUGUCGAGGCACAUGUCUUGAUGCUGUGGUCCAUUGAAAUAUGCUUGGUCUCUUGGAUCAGAACAUGACAUGGGCGAGGGUCUCCCGAUCCUGUUUUUGCCCUUGAUGAACGUUGGCAUACUCUAAGACGGAUGCCUAGCCCGAAUUGGCUCGUACCACCGGGUAGGUUAUGUUGUUGAAGAGCAAUGCUUUCGUUCUUGCUUCUCUAGAACGAAGGCGCCGCCUGCUGGGCUCGUACCAGCAGGUGGGCUAUGUCGAAAAGGGAUGCUACCUGGUUGAUCCUGCCAGUAGUCAUAUGCUUGUCUCAA
RNAcentral lists this unclassified non-coding RNA (523 nucleotides) under Telekia speciosa. RNAcentral's name for it is "contains 3 external transcribed spacer, ETS". The record is from RNAcentral. Lineage: Eukaryota; Viridiplantae; Streptophyta; Magnoliopsida; Asterales; Asteraceae.